CAGCCUGAAGUGAUGAGUUUGUUUCAUGUCUCUUCUCUGAGAUUUUUCCUGGAGAUAGUAUUUCACUCUGAUUGGGCUC
This 79-nucleotide small nucleolar RNA is filed under the name Pelusios castaneus (West African mud turtle). Its description in RNAcentral is "Small nucleolar RNA SNORD111 (ENSPCEG00000003761.1)". It matches the Rfam family "Small nucleolar RNA SNORD111". From Rfam's summary of the family: The members of this family belong to the C/D class of snoRNAs which contain the C (UGAUGA) and D (CUGA) box motifs. Most of the members of the box C/D family function in directing site-specific 2'-O-methylation of substrate RNAs. Lineage: Eukaryota; Metazoa; Chordata; Testudines; Pelomedusidae. The record is from Rfam by way of RNAcentral.